CCCUUAGAUGUCCUGGGCCGCACGCGCGCUACACUGAGUGUCUGAGAUACGAGUCUGCCUGGUCCGGCAAGGUCUAGGUAAUCGCUAAAAGACACAUCAUGCUUGGGAUAGAUUAUUGCAAAUAUUAAUCUUGAACGAGGAAUUCCUAGUAAGCGCAAGUCAACAGCUUGCGUUGAUUACGUCCCUGCCCUUUGUACACACCGCCCGUCGCUACUACUGAUUGGAUGUUUAAGCGAGGUUCUCGAACUGCUAGCGACUUAGCUUCGGUGAGGUCGCAGUGUGGGGAGUGAACCUAGCCUUGGUGUCUAGAGGAAGUAAAAGUCGUAACA
This 329-nucleotide ribosomal RNA is filed under the name uncultured eukaryote. RNAcentral's name for it is "partial 18S ribosomal RNA". It matches the Rfam family "Eukaryotic small subunit ribosomal RNA", at positions 1470 to 1796 of the family's 1831-position model. The record is from RNAcentral.